This is a long non-coding RNA of Gossypium arboreum, 482 nucleotides long. RefSeq lists it as uncharacterized. The transcript is spliced from 2 exons. Lineage: Eukaryota; Viridiplantae; Streptophyta; Magnoliopsida; Malvales; Malvaceae. The record is from RefSeq and is a predicted model, not a curated record.
AGGAAAGUUUGCUUUGUAAGGAUUUUAAUGUUGGUAAGAAAAAUAUUUAUUCAAUAUCUUUUUAGAUAAAAUCCAUCCAGUUUCAAAUAACAAAACCGUUGGACAAAUUUAAAUUUAAAUUUAUUCCAAGAAGAGGGAAUCAACUUGUCCACUAAAUUACUCAAGAAGGCUGAUUUUUGCCCUGAGAUAUUACUUGGUGGAAUGAUUUACCUGUCCGAUUGAAGAAGUUUGCUGAUGAAGACCGACGGAAAUCCGACCCGCCAUUGGAUUGACGUCUAGAAUCGUUAAUUAAAACUUCCUUGCAGAUUUGUUUCUUUAGCAGAGGGCAGGCAAAGGAAUGCUACCAAGGAUGAAACCUCUGUUGGAUCACCGAGUCGUCCAAGAGGAGUUCGAGAGUACACCUCUUCUAAAUAUUCUUUGUUGCUGAGUACCUAGAGAAAGUAGUGAGAUCAAAACAAGAGAGUAUUCCUAAAGCUCCAAAA